Bombus pascuorum is the source of this 393-nucleotide long non-coding RNA. RefSeq lists it as uncharacterized. The transcript has 3 exons. The record is from RefSeq and is a predicted model, not a curated record. Lineage: Eukaryota; Metazoa; Arthropoda; Insecta; Hymenoptera; Apidae.
UUAAAGGAUAUGACAUAUUAUCAUUAGUUUUUGGUGGAUAAAAAUCCAACUUUACCAUUCCAUUUUCAUCCAACAUACCAGUAAUAUUCGUGUAUGUGGACUGAUUAUCAGUAAUGAGAAUACUAAGACAUCAUUAAAUAACAUAAAUGAUGCUGUUACAAUUGUGGAACAGGAAUCAAUUUAAAAAAAUUUGUAAUAUGCUUUUAGGAACUUACAAAAAGUUUACUUAACUAUUAGAAUUCACUUACUUGGCAUAGAUUGUUGCAGUGAUUUUUGAUUCCUUAAAUGUGAAAUGUUUAGGAGCAUCAAUUAUCACUUCAAAAUUAGGUACCUAAAACUGGGUACUCAGACAAUUCGAUUUCCGCAUUAAAAAUUCCGUAGGUUACAGGUGGA